AUGGCCUGGAACAUAACUGCAGAAGGUGAACCAGGUGAUGUCACAAAGGUCAUUGGAAAUUAAUUUGGUGUCAGUGCAUGAGAGAGACCAUCAGUUCCUUGAGAAGAGGUUCUGUGACAGAAUCUUCCUUGUGACCCUGGUUCAGUUCAGCAUGAAUUAGGGACGUCCAUCCCAGUGCCAGGGCCCGGUUUAGGCUCCUGGAGUACGAGAUCCAUUUCUUGGGCCCCAGGUGCUCAGAACUUACCACCCUCAGCUCCCUCUGUGUCCCUGUGCUGGGACCUGCAGGCUGACGUGGUGACACAGGGAACAAAUGGGACAGAGAACAGAACCUGCUUCGUGGGAUCGGGUGAGGACUGAAAUACCUUCAUGAAUCGCAAGCGCUUAGAGGAGUUUGGGAAAUACCAUUUCCAAGACAGGGCAGGAAGAGUCCCAGGAAAAACCCACACCCCUCCUCCAGCAGUUCAAGACAUGAUAAACCGACUCCCCGUAGCUGGGGUCCGCAGCGACAAACGGCUCCGUACCUUUUCCUGCCGUCAGGGAAGUGGCCUUGAUCAUAGGAAGGCUUCCCGUGAGCUGACUUUCAGUGUAGGCUGGGAAUGGCCGUGAACAUCUGAUACCUGAUGACCACCGCUGUCCUCCUUACUUCAGAGGAGAAGGGCAUUGACGUGCCCACUCUGCAGACAGGAACACUGAGGCUCAGCGGGAUAGAGCAACUUGCCAGCGCCGCUCUGACGACACCAUGAGACGGGAGUCGGGAUCUGGUUUGGGGACUGCUGAGCCCACACCCUCACCAACCCUGCUGGCAGGCUCUAAGGACGAUUGUUCCAAAAGAUGAUAAUCUCUCAGGGAAAAUGAGAGAUCCAGAGAACCACAUGCUUUCAGAAAAAACCAGCAGGGAAGCACCAUUCUUUGGACAAG
This is a non-coding RNA of Ictidomys tridecemlineatus (thirteen-lined ground squirrel), 918 nucleotides long. Lineage: Eukaryota; Metazoa; Chordata; Mammalia; Rodentia; Sciuridae. The record is from RefSeq and is a predicted model, not a curated record.